GGGAUAUUACUUGGAAACAGGUGCUAAUACCGUAUAACAAUCGAAACCGCAUGGUUUUGAUUUGAAAGGCGCUUUCGGGUGUCGCUGAUGGAUGGACCCGCGGUGCAUUAGCUAGUUGGUGAGGUAACGGCUCACCAAGGCCACGAUGCAUAGCCGACCUGAGAGGGUGAUCGGCCACAUUGGGACUGAGACACGGCCCAAACUCCUACGGGAGGCAGCAGUAGGGAAUCUUCGGCAAUGGACGAAAGUCUGACCGAGCAACGCCGCGUGAGUGAAGAAGGUUUUCGGAUCGUAAAACUCUGUUGUUAGAGAAGAACAAGGAUGAGAGUAACUGUUCAUCCCUUGACGGUAUCUAACCAGAAAGCCACGGCUAACUACGUGCCAGCAGCCGCGGUAAUACGUAGGUGGCAAGCGUUGUCCGGAUUUAUUGGGCGUAAAGCGAGCGCAGGCGGUUUCUUAAGUCUGAUGUGAAAGCCCCCGGCUCAACCGGGGAGGGUCAUUGGAAACUGGGAGACUUGAGUGCAGAAGAGGAGAGUGGAAUUCCAUGUGUAGCGGUGAAAUGCGUAGAUAUAUGGAGGAACACCAGUGGCGAAGGCGGCUCUCUGGUCUGUAACUGACGCUGAGGCUCGAAAGCGUGGGGAGCAAACAGGAUUAGAUACCCUGGUAGUCCACGCCGUAAACGAUGAGUGCUAAGUGUUGGAGGGUUUCCGCCCUUCAGUGCUGCAGCUAACGCAUUAAGCACUCCGCCUGGGGAGUACGACCGCAAGGUUGAAACUCAAAGGAAUUGACGGGGGCCCGCACAAGCGGUGGAGCAUGUGGUUUAAUUCGAAGCAACGCGAAGAACCUUACCAGGUCUUGACAUCCUUUGACCACUCUAGAGAUAGAGCUUCCCCUUCGGGGGCAAAGUGACAGGUGGUGCAUGGUUGUCGUCAGCUCGUGUCGUGAGAUGUUGGGUUAAGUCCCGCAACGAGCGCAACCCUUAUUGUUAGUUGCCAUCAUUCAGUUGGGCACUCUAGCAAGACUGCCGGUGACAAACCGGAGGAAGGUGGGGAUGACGUCAAAUCAUCAUGCCCCUUAUGACCUGGGCUACACACGUGCUACAAUGGGAAGUACAACGAGUUGCGAAGUCGCGAGGCUAAGCUAAUCUCUUAAAGCUUCUCUCAGUUCGGAUUGCAGGCUGCAACU
RNAcentral lists this ribosomal RNA (1185 nucleotides) under Enterococcus faecium. Its description in RNAcentral is "bacterial SSU rRNA". It matches the Rfam family "Bacterial small subunit ribosomal RNA", at positions 140 to 1312 of the family's 1533-position model. Lineage: Bacteria; Bacillati; Bacillota; Bacilli; Lactobacillales; Enterococcaceae. The record is from RNAcentral.